This 481-nucleotide ribosomal RNA is filed under the name uncultured bacterium. RNAcentral's name for it is "partial 16S ribosomal RNA". It matches the Rfam family "Bacterial small subunit ribosomal RNA", at positions 28 to 507 of the family's 1533-position model. The record is from RNAcentral.
GAUGAACGCUGGCGGCGUGCUUAACACAUGCAAGUCGAACGAAGCACUUUUUUUGACUUCCUCCGGGGGUGAUCAAGUUGUGACUGAGUGGCGGACGGGUGGGUAACGAGUUGGUAACCUGCCUUGUACAGGGGGAAAACAGUCGGAUACGGCUGAUAACACCGCAUAAGCGCACAGCAACGCUCGAAGCAGUGUGAAAAAAAUCGGUGGUAUAAGAUGGAGCUGCGUUGGAGUAGCAAGGGGGUGAGGUAACGGCCUACCAAGGCGACGAUCCAUAGCCGGCCUGUGAGGGUGGCCGGCCACUUUUGGACUGAGACACCGCCCGGACUCCUGCGGGAGGCAGCAGUGGGUAAUAUUGCCCAAUCGGCUGAGUCCUGAUGCAGCUCCGCCGCUUGAGCGAAGUUGUUUUUCAGGAAGUGAAGCUCUAUCAGCAGGGAAGGUAAUGACGGUACCUAAAGAAGAAGCACCGGCUAAAUACGUG